Molecule: ribosomal RNA, 518 nt
Filed under: uncultured bacterium
Lineage: Bacteria
Description: bacterial SSU rRNA
Rfam family: Bacterial small subunit ribosomal RNA
Source: RNAcentral
AAUAGAUACCCUGGUAGUCCACGCCGUAAACGAUGGAUACUAGCUGUUCGUCCGCCUCGGCGGAUGAGUGGCUAAGCGAAAGUGAUAGGUAUCCCACCUGGGGAGUACGAACGCAAGUUUGAAACUCAAAGGAAUUGACGGGGGCCCGCACAAGCGGUGGAGCAUGUGGUUUAAUUCGAUGAUACGCGAGGAACCUUACCAAGGCUUAAAUGUAGAUUGACAGGACUGGAAACAGUUUUUUCUUCGGACAAUUUACAAGGUGCUGCAUGGUUGUCGUCAGCUCGUGCCGUGAGGUGUCAGGUUAAGUCCUAUAACGAGCGCAACCCCUGUUGUUAGUUGCCAGCGAGUGAUGUCGGGAACUCUAACAAGACUGCCAGUGUAAACUGUGAGGAAGGUGGGGAUGACGUCAAAUCAUCACGGCCCUUACGCCUUGGGCUACACACGUGCUACAAUGGCCGGUACAGAGAGCAGCCACUGCGCGAGCAGGAGCGAAUCUAUAAAACCGGUCACAGUUCGGA